ACAAGUUGAGCGAUGACCCAGUAAUGGCUGGAUAAUGCUCCCUGGGUGUUUCCUAGUUUCACUUUCACCAGGAUCAAGUCUCAGAUCGUUUUCUUCACGUCAACCUCCCUCUGAAGGUGAAGGACAAAGUGUGAGCUGAUGUGAAUCCAGCAGCAUGGACCAGAGUGAAGCUCAGAGAAGUCCUGGGGAUGCCAGUCUGGAGUUGGCGGUGGAGGAGCGGAGAAGGAGCUUUGGUUUGGCUUUGCCGUCUGUCCUCAGGGGGAUCGUGAGGUCUUCAGCAGCAGGAUCGAUGGACUGUCUGGACUUGAUGGGAUCCAGAGGGAGUGUGUCAUGAGAACAUGGCCCAUUUUUAAUUUACAUCCCUUCCUUUACAAGUACAAGAACAAGGAGACACCAUUCGACACGAUCUAUGCCGCCGUUUCUAUGCAACUGGUCAAACGACCAAACAUCUCAGACACUGUUUUUGACAACUAGUAUAUAAUGGUAAUUGUGUAAUAAAGAAAUUAAAAAAAUAUUACAUUGUUUAUUUUUAUUCAAUUUAAUCUCAUUUAUUUUAUCUUUCUUUUGAUGUUCUGAGUGUUUACUUUUAUGUGCUUGACUUAAUGACUUUAAUGAUCGUGGAUCAUUAAAGUCUAAAUCUAAGUCUAGUGACUUAUGGCUAUGUACUACCACACAACUAAAACAUUGCAAGUUUUUAGGGAACAACAGGGUAGAAGCUGCAUUAAAAAAAAAAAAAAAAAGCAUUUCUAUCAUGAGCCAGUGCAGCCACAGCCAAAAUGGGCACCACCAUCUUGAUACAACAGUGUGAAUAAUCGUCUAAGUCAACGAGCCACUCCAAGAACCUCCAUAAGCACAAAGUACCUGAGAAUGAACUCUCAUAGUUCAGAGAACAUGUCCACACGUUGUCAGAGUUUAAGAUGACUGAGUUCUCAGAAACCUCUACACAGACCUGUCAGCCAUUCAUCACCUAAACCAUCUCCUCCAUCUCUCUGCAGCCUCCAGCCCCUCAGACCUGACCAUGUGGUCUCUGAGGACCAGGCUGAACCUCCACUGGUGAACGAUGAAGCCGUCGUUACAGCCGAUGUUCUUGAGAAGUGUCAACGUAAACUUAAAUCUAGUCUGAAGAAGAAGUUCCAGUGUGUGUUUGAGGGGAUUGCUAAAGCUGGAAACUCAACCCUUCUGAAUGAGAUCUACACAGAGCUCUACAUCACAGAGGGAGGGACUGCA
This is a long non-coding RNA of Mugil cephalus (flathead mullet), 1227 nucleotides long. RefSeq lists it as uncharacterized. The transcript has 5 exons. The record is from RefSeq and is a predicted model, not a curated record. Lineage: Eukaryota; Metazoa; Chordata; Actinopteri; Mugiliformes; Mugilidae.